This 301-nucleotide ribosomal RNA is filed under the name uncultured bacterium. Its description in RNAcentral is "partial 16S ribosomal RNA". It matches the Rfam family "Bacterial small subunit ribosomal RNA", at positions 509 to 809 of the family's 1533-position model. The record is from RNAcentral.
CAGUAGCCGCGGGAAUACGAAGGGGGCUAGCGUUGUUCGGAAUCACUGGGCGUAAAGGGUGCGCAGGCUGGUUCUUAAGUCAGGGGUGAAAUCCCGAGGCUCAACCUCGGAACGGCCUUUGAUACUGGGGAUCUUGAGUCCGGAAGAGGUGAGUGGAACUGCGAGUGUAGAGGUGAAAUUCGUAGAUAUUCGCAAGAACACCGGUGGCGAAGGCGGCUCACUGGUCCGGAACUGACGCUGAGGCACGACAGCGUGGGGAGCAAACAGGAUUAGAUACCCCCGUAGUCCCUGUCUCUUAUAA